AAUGAGCUUAAAGAAUAAUGUAUCUGGGUCCCCCUUUUAUAGGCGGAGGAGGCAACGGAUUGAUGGCGAUGUUUGUAACCGUCUGGUAGUGGGCCGCCCAUGGUCAGGGGAAUUGAUUGCGAAGGAUAGUGGAGUAGACAUGUGGCUAUUGUUACGGCCUGCCACGUAGGGCCAGUUGCAGGUAGUGGAGCGGCGUCCGUUGCCGCUAGCUGUCAGGGAGUAGUGGAGUCGCGCAGCACCUGCCGCAGGGAGUGGAGCAGAAUCGUGGCC
This 270-nucleotide long non-coding RNA is filed under the name Elaeis guineensis (African oil palm). RNAcentral describes it as "long non-coding RNA (EGUI_LNC060595)". Lineage: Eukaryota; Viridiplantae; Streptophyta; Magnoliopsida; Arecales; Arecaceae. The record is from RNAcentral.